Molecule: long non-coding RNA, 846 nt
Filed under: Coffea arabica (coffee)
Lineage: Eukaryota; Viridiplantae; Streptophyta; Magnoliopsida; Gentianales; Rubiaceae
Description: long non-coding RNA (CARA_LNC002220)
Source: RNAcentral
UCAAACAUAAAGAAACUUAAGAGCAACUAAAAAUUUACAAAUCGAAUACAUUCAAAAGUAAUAUAAUUAGCUAUUAAAAAAAAGAAACAAUUAUAAUCAAGAGAGUCAAAAAGUCAUAAGAGACAAAAUUGCAAAAAUUCAGAAAACUUUGAGGUCAUGAAUAUAAUUUUUCAAAAGUUUAGGAACAAAAUUAAAUAAAAGAUAAAGUUUAGGGACCAAAUUAUAAUAAAAUAAGCAUCUAAUUGAAAUAAAUUAAAAGUUUUUAGAGCCACAAUAAAACUACACCAAAGAUCAGGGGCUAUUGUUGCAAAAUCCAUUUCUGAUGUCUUAGGAAAACAUGGCCAUUGGACUACCUUUAGUGUUUUCCUGGGCCAAAAAUCCCUUCAGCCCAAAGUAGAAAAAAUCGAAAUGGAGUGGACCAGCCCAAUAAAUUUACUAAGCUAAGCCUGACGAAAACGGGUUUGCUUGAACCCCAAACGUAGUCACCAGUCCAAUCGAAACAAAACACAAAAAUAACGCUUGACCCAACUGAAAAUCAAGAAACAAGCCCACCAAAAAAAUAAAAAUUAGCCCAACACUUUUUUUCUUCUUUUUCCUUCUUUUUUUUUCCUCCCUCUUCUUCUUCUCCUUCUUCGGCCAGUUGAAGCUUCUUUAGCUAGCUGCCAUGGCAGCCGCCGCCGCCGGACCGACGGCGACCUCUCUGAUUGCGAAAAGUUAUCAAAAUAUAUCUCCCCACUCGAUUUUUCGCAUAAAAUUCAUUUUUGGGCUUAGUUCUUACAAAAAAAAAAAAAAGAACCGAAAGUGGUGAAAAUGCCAAGAAAUCAGUCCAGCUUUUUAUUUUUUUAA